Molecule: long non-coding RNA, 224 nt
Organism: Perca fluviatilis (European perch)
Lineage: Eukaryota; Metazoa; Chordata; Actinopteri; Perciformes; Percidae
Exons: 3
Source: RefSeq, a predicted model, not a curated record
CGUGCACGUCAGCCACGGAGAGCCAGGAGUUGACAGAAUCCCCGACAGCAGCUGCUCUCUGAGUCAAACACAGUGGAAACACCCAGGGGAGCCUCAUAAACCAUGGACAAUUUGUGGUGUUGGCUGCUGCUCCACCGGAGCAAUGAGGACCACCAGCUGGUGGUUGAUGCUCAGGUAUCCGAAGACGUCGCACUGUGGCACGGAGACAUGAAGCCGCAGGACCU